Erinaceus europaeus (western European hedgehog) is the source of this 106-nucleotide small nuclear RNA. NCBI's taxonomy places the organism in Eukaryota, Metazoa, Chordata, Mammalia, Eulipotyphla, Erinaceidae. The record is from Ensembl.
GUGCUCACCUCAUCAGCACAUAUACUAAAAUUGGAUUGAUACAGAGAAGAUUAGCAUGGCCCCUGCACAAGGAUGACACACAAAUUCUGAAGUAUUCCAUAUUUUU